CACCGCGGUUAAACGGGAGGCUCAAGUUGAUAGACAUCGGCGUAAAGCGUGGUUAGGGGCCCAACUUUAACACUAAAGCCGAACGCUCUUAGAACAGUUAUACGUACUGAGAGUAAGAAGAUCAAUUACGAAAGUAGCUUUAUUCAAACCUGACUCCACGAAAGCUAAGGCA
Molecule: ribosomal RNA, 172 nt
Filed under: Morone americana (white perch)
Lineage: Eukaryota; Metazoa; Chordata; Actinopteri; Moronidae
Description: partial small subunit ribosomal RNA
Source: RNAcentral